Molecule: non-coding RNA, 576 nt
Filed under: Pan troglodytes (chimpanzee)
Lineage: Eukaryota; Metazoa; Chordata; Mammalia; Primates; Hominidae
Source: RNAcentral
AAACUUUUCUCCCUGGUGGAGCAACCACUUGCAUGAGCAUGAGAGGUUGUUCCCCAGGCCAUCAGACUCCAAACAGUCAUGCAACUGGAGCCUUUGAGGAUGACCCCUUCUGCCGGGGACCCUUAGGUCAGCCUCUAGAGAAGCUUUGACUGCUGUUUCCCCAAAACAGCGCCCCCUGCCAUCAGGAAGCAAAAGCCAUGUUGGUUCACCACAUGUAUCGCAUCCUGAUAAUGUGAAGUGAAAAAGUAGAGCCUGGAAGCCUUUGUAAGAUGACUGUGCCAGAGGAGGAAGAUAAAUAUCUCGAUGCUAUGGAGGCCUGUCAGCUCUUUGAAGUAUCUGGGCAAUAUCAAGAUUUCUACUUCAGAUGAAAAAACAAAUAGUUAUUCAUUGACCCUGAUGCUGCCAAGAAAGAGGUGAAAGGUGAGCCCCCAACCCACGGAAAGAUCCAGCCAAGUAAGGAACUGCAAAAUAUUGAAUGACUAAUUCUCCAAACAAGGAGAACAAGAAGAUUUACACUAGCCAUGCAAGGAAUCUUUGAAAGUCUAGCAGACCUGACUUGAAGAGAAGGCUCUAAAC